AGCUUUUGGAAGGUGAUUGAAUAACGAAGGCACUGUACUCAUCAAAGAGUUCAUCCACUAUAAGUUCAGUAGCUGAGGGGGCUGUCAGGUGGUGAGGCCUGAUUAGAGGGCAGAAAAGACUGAAGUUCUGAGUGAAGACCUUCUUCAGGUGGAGAAGCGCCUGGAGCUGGUAAAGCAAGUGUCU
Fukomys damarensis (Damara mole-rat) is the source of this 184-nucleotide long non-coding RNA. RefSeq lists it as uncharacterized. The record is from RefSeq and is a predicted model, not a curated record. The transcript is spliced from 3 exons. Lineage: Eukaryota; Metazoa; Chordata; Mammalia; Rodentia; Bathyergidae.